AUUGAACGCUGGCGGCAUGCUUUACACAUGCAAGUCGGACGAGUGGCGAACGGGUGAGUAACAUAUCGGAACGUACCGAGUAAUGGGGGAUCACUAAUCGAAAGAUUAGCUAAUACCGCAUAUUAUUCGAGCGGCCGAUAUCUGAUUAGCUGGUUGGUGGGGUCAAGGCCUACCAAGGCGACGAUCAGUAGCGGGUCUGAGAGGAGGAGCAGCCACACUGGGACUGAUACACGGCCCAGACUCCGACGUGAGGCAGCAGUGGGGAAUUUUGGACAAUGUGCGCAAGCCUGAUCCAGCCAUGCCGCUUGUCUGAAGAAGGCCUUCGGGUUGUAAAGGACUUUUGUCAGGUAAGCGGUACCUGAAGAAUAAGCACCGGCUAACUACGUGACAGCAGCCGCGGUAAUUC
RNAcentral lists this ribosomal RNA (406 nucleotides) under uncultured bacterium. Its description in RNAcentral is "partial 16S ribosomal RNA". It matches the Rfam family "Bacterial small subunit ribosomal RNA", at positions 30 to 526 of the family's 1533-position model. The record is from RNAcentral.